AGGCUGACGACCGCGUCUGGUUCUGCCCCGGUGCCUUGUGCGCCGUCGGCAGAGGCAAGAGGGAACCCGGUGAGAAUCCGGGACUGCCCCGCAGCGGUAUUCGGGAACGACAGUCGUCACCAAGCACUGGGUCCACGGGAUCUGGGAAGCGACGGCCAGUAGGUGAGCCAGCCGGCUCGUGCCCGUGAGUCCGAAGACCUGCCUGACGUCCGGUUCGGCA
Molecule: non-coding RNA, 220 nt
Organism: Microlunatus phosphovorus NM-1
Lineage: Bacteria; Bacillati; Actinomycetota; Actinomycetes; Propionibacteriales; Propionibacteriaceae
Source: Rfam